UACGUAGGAGACGAGCGUUGUCCGGAGUUACUGGGCGUAAAGGGUGCGCAGGUGGUUGUGCGCGUGGGGGGUGAAAUCGCCCGGCUCAACUGGGCGGGGUCAGCGGAUACGGUGUGGCUCGAGCAAGCUAGGGGGCAAUGGAAUUCCCGGUGUAGUGGUGGAAUGCGUAGAUAUCGGGAGGAACACCAGUGGCGAAGGCGGUUGCCUGGAGCUUUGCUGACGCUGAGGCGCGAAAGCGUGGGGAGCGAUCCGG
Molecule: ribosomal RNA, 253 nt
Filed under: uncultured bacterium
Lineage: Bacteria
Description: partial 16S ribosomal RNA
Rfam family: Bacterial small subunit ribosomal RNA
Source: RNAcentral